CGGGGUGUGGUGUAAUGUUUCGCAUCCAAGCCUUGGGAGCUUGUGGUCAGGGUUCGAUUCCCUGCACCCCGACCA
Molecule: transfer RNA, 75 nt
Filed under: Acidobacteriota bacterium
Lineage: Bacteria; Pseudomonadati; Acidobacteriota
Description: Acidobacteria bacterium (rhizosphere metagenome) tRNA-Pro
Rfam family: tRNA
About the family: Transfer RNA (tRNA) molecules are approximately 80 nucleotides in length. Their secondary structure includes four short double-helical elements and three loops (D, anti-codon, and T loops). Further hydrogen bonds mediate the characteristic L-shaped molecular structure. tRNAs have two regions of fundamental functional importance: the anti-codon, which is responsible for specific mRNA codon recognition, and the 3' end, to which the tRNAs corresponding amino acid is attached (by aminoacyl-tRNA synthetases). tRNAs cope with the degeneracy of the genetic code in two manners: having more than one tRNA (with a specific anti-codon) for a particular amino acid; and 'wobble' base-pairing, i.e. permitting non-standard base-pairing at the 3rd anti-codon position.
Source: RNAcentral